GGAAGACGUUUCUGCAAAGUGCUGGAUGUGGUGGAGCAGCAGUGACCCAUGGAGAAGGAAGAGAAGCUGGUUGUGCCUGCAGGAGCCUCACCCCAAUGGACUGCUGAACACAGGGCUCGGUACCGAGUGCUAGCGCUGCAGAACUCCUCACCUUCAGGUCCCCAGCACGCACAUUUGUAAGACACGCUUCUCCCACCCCAACCUCUCAGUGGUCCCUGCCCUCCCAGAUGUCCGUCAGUCUGUCACUGUACAGAGCUGUGAGAGGAAGAUGUGAUACUGCACUGCAUGCAAAAAGGUAAAGAAAGGAGAUCAGUAACAUGUUAAUAUCCCAUCCUGACGUCUCACAAAUUAUUUUAGACUUCGUAGCCAAUGUAAACAGGUUUGUUUUCAACUCCCCUAAUUGCCUGCUAAUUGAGAGCAGAUGCAGGCCUUAACUUCCAGCAGAUAAAGAACAGCCUCUUCUCCAGGGCUCCUCAUCUAUCACGAGGUCUCUGAUGUGUGCCUGUGAGCUCCCCUGGUUAGCAGGGUUGAGGCAGAGAGGGAUUGGAGCUGCUUCUCUUGGAACUGCGGAGAGACAGGAGGGAAGGCAGAGCUGUGGGAUUCAUCAGUAACAUCAUCAUUAUUAUUGUUUCAUUUUGUACUUCAGCGCGCUUUCUGCAACAGUGUAUGUUUCCUUCUUGGGGGGGGAGUUCUUCAAAUUAUCGAUGGGUUUCUUGUUAUGAUAGAAAUUACUGGGUUUAUGAAAAAGGCAUUGCUGUCGUAUUCCAUUAUCUGCUUUCUCCCGUGCUGCAAUUCUGUAGCUUGCAAGUCUUCAGAUUCUUUCUCAGAGUUCCUUUGAAAUAAUCCUUUCAAAAAACACUAUUCAUUGGGUAUGACCCCAGAGAGGCACUGUCUGGAACUAAAGCUCUCUUUUAGUUCUGCAAGGGAGACCUGUAACAACAAUAUAAGUGCAUGUAUAUUCCAAAUAACGUCUGGAGCUUGCUCCCUCCCAUUUAAUGCAAUGGGAGCCCGCAGUUCAGGUGGUAGAAUUUUGCUUUGUAAAUGUAGGAGAAAAUUUAGUUCAGAUACGUAGGUAAACUUGCAUUUGGUAGUGAUUUAACGUUCCAUGGUCUGUUUUAGUUCCAACUUAAAUAUUACAUUAAAACCAGCAAUAAAAGGAAAAAAAGAAGAAGAAUUAAAAAAUGUGCUGAAUCCUGGGCUUGGAAAGAGUGGGGAUGAUUUUGUUCUUGCUGUCAGCGCAGUGCUGAGCUGCCUUUUGCUCUCUCCAUUUAACGAGUCAGCAGCGGUGGCGAAGUGACAGCCCUCCAGUCUUUCUUCAGGACUGUUUUUGCAAAUGAAAGCAGCUCCUCGUGCUCUCCGUAUCGCUUACGAGGUGUUUGUGAAUUUGGGAGUUCUUGCAUCUGUUUGCAAAGAGGCGGCGAGGAUUUAGUGAUUCCUUGGGGUAAGAGGCCCUUUGUGCGGGGAGGCUGCGUGGGGUGCUGCCACCGGGUUCAGAAGGUCAAAAAAGGAUAAUUUAAAUACAAUUUUUUAAAGAGGCAAUAAGAAACCAGUUUGGUGGUUUGUGGAUCAUAAAGGAAUAGGAAAAAA
Molecule: long non-coding RNA, 1587 nt
Organism: Numida meleagris (helmeted guineafowl)
Lineage: Eukaryota; Metazoa; Chordata; Aves; Galliformes; Numididae
Exons: 2
Source: RefSeq, a predicted model, not a curated record